RNAcentral lists this long non-coding RNA (5069 nucleotides) under Xyrichtys novacula (pearly razorfish). The record is from RNAcentral. Lineage: Eukaryota; Metazoa; Chordata; Actinopteri; Labriformes; Labridae.
UGAUAUGUGUUUUUUAGAUGAAUUGAAGAGACCAAUAAAACAUUAGUGGGACACUUUUCCAGUUCCAGAGAGACGCUUUUAGACAUCAAUUCAUAGACAAUGUGGACAUGAUUAAAACUGCCAAGGAAAAUGUUACAUGUUUGUAAUGAUGAUGGGUUCAGUCGAUGGAUAGAAGCAACAUCAUCAAAAGAUCUUGGAGUCAAAAUAAAUCUGUCACUGCAUGAUUUGGUACAUCAUUUUGGGGAAGAAAGUUAAUCUCUCAAGUAAAUAUCAGAUCAGAAAAUUUGCACUAACACUAACCUAUAGGAAGUUGCUUUGCUACUUGCGCUUAUGAGCUUUCACAAUCAAGAGUACUGUGAUAAAUCUUUUACUGCAUGAAUUACUAACUUACAAAGCUAUGCUUUACUGCAGCUGAACAAUUAAGCUUUUCGCUUGAGCAGCUGAAAAAUUAGUGAAUUAAAAUAUGAGGCAGCUAACUACGAUGCAAAGAUCUAUCGAUUAGCAGGAGGAAUGCCAAAAUCUGAUCCCAGUCAAGAGGUGGAGGCCAGUCGAGCCAGAGCACCAGGUGUACAUCACCGUCUUUUGAGGAGGGUGGCACAAAGAACGAGGAGAAGACCUGAACACUGUGGUCCUGGUGAACUCUACUUCAAUGCAGGAAGAGGGCAAUAUGAUGUGGCGUCAUCUACCGCUGACUGCCCAGAAAAAACAAGGGAAGUAUGACUUGAUAAGAGACACUCCCAGAAUGACUGUAGAACUCGUCCUGUUUUCCUGGUGCUGCUGCUGAGGGACAAUGUGUGGAGAGAGACCGAGAGAGAGACUGAUGACAACAAUGAGGGUGAAGGUCAAACUGGUGCCAGUACAGCUGUGAGAAGAAGAAGUGGGAGACAUUGUCAUCACGGGUGAGUACGAUGCAACCCAAAACACAAUCCACACCACUCCAGACAGAGCUAGAACCCAUGCCAACAUUCACAGUUUAUUACAGAUUUACAAUUAGGUUAAGGAAAAUAGAUAACUCGGGCCCCGUUGGGGCACUGGCGGGCCCGAGCUGUGUCGCGCCUCCCCCAACACGACCGCCUCUCCCUCCCGAUCGCGUCGCACUCAAGGUCCAAAGAUGGUGUUCGCACUUGUCUGUGGUCAUUUAUCAUUAUAAUGAAUGGGAGGCGCAGUUUCUACCAAAACGCUCGCUGCAGACAAACUACAUGUCCUAUUUGAAAAAAGUCUGGACCAUGAGUGAGGGCACAAACACAGCUAGGAUAUAUCCAAAUGGCAAGUUGCUCCUCCUUUCGGAGGAGUUUGAACACAUGACAUGUGUUUGAGCCAUUGAGCGAUGGGCAGGAAAAACUUGACUUUUUCUCCUGCCAUGGGGGGGCGCUCUUUUGGGGAGUAAAAAUUCCUUCACAAAUGUGUUGAUGGCUAGACAUUGCAUCAUCCUAGAAAACUUGGAAGCCAGUGAGGACAAAAAUGAAAAGUUAUAAGACUUUUCAUAAUGUGGAUUUUUGGGUUAUCUUUGGUGCCCCCUAGAACAUAAACCGUGGGGUGCAGCGUCAUGAUUUGUACAACUUUUAAUGGCCAUGGGGUGUAGAUUGGCCUGAGCAAAUUUGGUGCCGGUGGAACGAAAGCUUUAGGAGGAGUUAGCCACAUUCCAAUGUGUGCGAAUCGAUCAAAAAUGCGUAAUAGCCCUUUAACCGUACAUUUUACAGAUACAUGCGCAUUGACUUUUUCGUAGAUCUUAUUGAGAUACACGUGAUUGUCAAAUUUUGUUUCAAUAUGACAAAGCGUACAGGCGUGACACUCAACAAUGUGUAUUUUCACCUUAUGGGACAAGAAAAAAUGGACUUUUUUCUCCUGCCAUGGGGGGGCGCUCUUUUGGGGAGUAAAAAUUCCUUCACAAAUGUGUUGAUGGCUGGACAUUGCAUCAUCCUAGAAAACUUGGAGGCCAGUGAGGACAAAAAUAAAAAGUUAUAAGACUUUUAAGACUGUGGAUUUUUGGGUUAUCUUUGGCGCCCCCUAGAACGUAAACCGUGGGGUGCAGCGUCAUGAUUUGUACAACUUUUAAUGGCCAUGGGGUGUAGAUUGGCCUGAGCAAAUUUGGUGCCGGUGGAACGAAAGCCUUCGGAGGAGAUAGCGAAAUUCCACUGUGUGCGGAUCGGCAAAAAAUGCGAAAUAGCCCUUUAACCGUACAUUUGACAGGUACGCCCGCACUGACUUUUUUGUAGAUCUUAUUGAGAUACACGUGUGUGUCAAAUUUUGUGUCAUUUUGACAAAGCGUACAGGUGUGACACUCAAUCAUGUGAAUUUUUCACCUUAGGGGGCGCUAUGGAGCCAUUUUGCAUUUGAUUGUUUGGCCGACUUCAGAAUAUCAAAUUUCUCACCAGGCCCGGUCGUCCUGCCAAAUUUCAUGAGUUUUCACCAUUGGGAAGUGGGCCAUUUUCCAGUUCAAAGGGGCAGAAAAAUAAGAAGAAAACUAGGGCCCCGUUGGGGCACUGGCGGGCCCGAGCCGUGUCACGCCGCCCCCAACACGACCGCCUCUCCCUCCCGAUCGCGUCACACUCAAGGUUCAACGAUGGUGUGCGCACUUGUCUGUGGUCAUUUACCAUUAUAAUGAAUGGGAGGCGCAGUUUCUACCAAAACGCUUGCUGCAGACAAACUACAUGUCCUAUUUGAAAAAAGUCUGGACCAUGAGUGAGGGCACAAACACAGCUAGGAUAUAUCCAAAUGGCAAGUUCCUCCUCCUUUCGUUUUUUUCCGAGAGAGCGAUGUGUUUGAGCCAUUGAGCGAUGGGCAGGAAAAACUUGACUUUUUCUCCUGCCAUGGGGGGGCACUCUUUUAGGGAGAAAAAAUUCCUUCACAAAUGUGUUGAUGGCUAGACAUUGCAUCAUCCUAGAAAACUUUGAAGCCAGUGAGGACAAAAAUGAAAAGUUAUAAGACUUUUAAGAAUGUGGAUUUUUGGGUUAUCUUUGGCGACCCCUAGAACGUAAACCGUGGGGUGCAGCAUCAUGAUUUGUACAACUUUUAAUGGCCAUGGGGUGUAGAUUGGCCUGAGCAAAUUUGGUGCCGGUGGAACGAAAGCUUUAGGAGGAGUUAGCCACAUUCCAAUGUGUGCGAAUCAACCAAAAAUGCGAAAUAGCCCUUUAACCGUACAUUUUGCAGACACGUGCGCAUUGACUUUUUCGUAGAUCUUAUUGAGAUACACGUGAUUAUCAAAUUUUGUUUCAAUAUGACAAAGCGUACAGGCGUGACACUCAACAAUGUGUAUUUUCACCUUAUAGGACAAGAAAAAAUGGCCUUUUUUCUCCUGCCAUCGGGGGGCGCUCUUUUGGGGAGUAAAAAUUCCUUCACAAAUGUGUUGAUGGCUGGACAUUGCAUCAUCCUAGAAAACUUGGAGGCCAGUGAGGACAAAAAUAAAAAGUUAUAAGACUUGUAAGAAUGUGGAUUUUUGGGUUAUCUUUGGCGCCCCCUACAACGUAAACCGUGGGGUGCAGCGUCAUGAUUUGUACAACUUUGAAUGGCCAUGGGGUGUAGAUUGGCCUGAGCAAAUUUGGUGCCGGUGGAACGAAAGCCUUCGGAGGAGUUAGCGAAAUUCCAAUGUGUGCGGAUCGGCAAAAAAUGCGGAAUAACCCUUUAACCGUACAUUUGACAGAUACGCCCGCACUGACUUUUUUGUAGAUCUUAUUGAGAUACACGUGUGUGUCAAAUUUUGUGUCAUUUUGACAAAGCGUACAGCCGUGACACUCAAUCAUGUGAAUUUUUCACCUUAGGGGGCGCUAUGGAGCCAUUUUGCAUUUGAUUGUUUGGCCGACUUCAGAAUAUCGAAUUUUUCACCAGGCCCGGUCGUCCUGCCAAAUUUCAUGAGUUUUCACCAGUGGGAAGUGGGCCAUUUUCCAGUUCAAAGGGGCAGAAAAAUAACUAGGACCCCGUUGGGGCACUGGCGGGCCCGAGCCGUGUCGCGUCCCCCCCCCCCCAACGUGCUGCCUUCCCGUCCCAUUUGUGUCCUCUGGCCAUCGCCCUCUCUGGUAACGCCCAUCACUGCAAAGACCCUUUUCCUUCAUCGGCGUUUGCUGUUCUUCCUGCCAGUGCGUGUUGCUUUCACUUACACUUGCCACAGCCAGCCUCGUGAGUGCCUAGCCUAUUGGAUAUCACUGUCACCUACACAGGACAGUCAUUACCUUUCUAUUAAUACUUUGUGUUUUAAUUUCACAUUAAUUUCCAUAUUGUAUAAACAACUGGAAAAAACUUGAGCCCCUGCCCCUGUAUAAUCAUGUGCAUGUCUCUGUUCUAGCUCCAAGGUGAAUCUUCACUGCUCAUGUUCUCCUCAGAAGCACUCACCUCACUCCCCUCAGGUUACUGUACACAUGCACCAACUGCCUGCUUCAGGUUUGGAUGGAGCUUCAUGGUUGUCUUUUGGAGAAAUGACCAGUCAAGUUGUGUUUGAAAUUUGAUUUUUUUCAGGGGCAAAAGGAGCCUCUGCAUUCUUGUCAAAUAUGUAAAUAGCAUGUUUUUGCAGGUGCUAAAAACCAGACUCUGAGUGUGUGUGUGUGUGUGUGUGUGUGUGUGUGUGUGUGUGUGUGUGUGUGUGUGUGUGUGUGUGUGUCUGUGUGUGCGUUCAAGUCACAUGACAUAUUUAACCGGAUGUAGCUGCAAGACGGAGCCUCGUUGACUCUCCGUUUCAACCUAUCUCAAAAGUGAGGACCUCAACCUAUAUACCAGUUUUUAAAUUGUGUUGAUAGGCCAAAUAAAACCAGAGUUAUAAUAAAUUAUGUCCGCGAUACUUUUUUUCUGCUUAUUUUGAUCACGUCGGCGCUCGAUCGCGCUGUAUGAGACAGGAAAACAUAGCAUGCAGACAUUAGCGACAGGUUUUACAGGCGGAAAAGGCUUGCCAAAAGAAAAAAAAAACACACCACAACAUCUCUCCUAUUGGUGGAAAACUUCACCACAACAACCAAUCCAAAAUUAUAUGGUGACUGAUUGAGAAGGGGCGGGCGCUUACGUUCUUCCUGCAACAUGAGAAGGGAGGGAGGGACUCUCAGCAGGGAUGCAGUCUGGGACACGUAGUUGCAAACCUAGCGACU